This 253-nucleotide ribosomal RNA is filed under the name uncultured bacterium. RNAcentral describes it as "partial 16S ribosomal RNA". It matches the Rfam family "Bacterial small subunit ribosomal RNA", at positions 524 to 776 of the family's 1533-position model. The record is from RNAcentral.
UACGUAGGGUGCAAGCGUUGUCCGGAUUUAUUGGGCGUAAAGAGCUCGUAGGCGGUUUGUCGCGUCGGAUGUGAAAACCCGGGGCUCAACCCCGGGCCUGCAUUCGAUACGGGCAGACUAGAGUUCGGUAGGGGAGUCUGGAAUUCCUGGUGUAGCGGUGAAAUGCGCAGAUAUCAGGAGGAACACCGGUGGCGAAGGCGGGACUCUGGGCCGAUACUGACGCUGAGGAGCGAAAGCGUGGGGAGCAAACAGG